This 681-nucleotide long non-coding RNA is filed under the name Homo sapiens (human). Its description in RNAcentral is "non-protein coding lnc-NFYA-1:17". Lineage: Eukaryota; Metazoa; Chordata; Mammalia; Primates; Hominidae. The record is from RNAcentral.
CAAAAGUCAUGGUGGGUAAGCAGCGGAUAUUGCUGCAAGCUGUUACUCUUUUCCUCCAGGUUUGCCCAGGAAUCACAGUGGGACCUGUUUAAGCACUAUUUCUCCAACGCUUGCAGUUGGUGAAAAGAACCAAUGCCUCGCUAUUUGGUGCACAUGGCUUUGUCCGAUUCCUAGAAUGCCAUGUGUUAAUGUUACAGAAAAUGCCAGAGGGUAUCUUCAUGCAUAUUCCUCUAGAGCUUCACAGCCAAACCCUUGAGGCUUAUUUUGCCAUCAGUAACUCCUUCCUGUUCCCCCAGCCAUGAGUGAAUAUGCUGAAUGAGGACCUUUUACUGUAAGGAGUUCUUCUCUCAAUGUGUGACCUGCCCUGUCUAUCACCAGUGGGUAUCUGAGCUUAAGGCCUCUGUAAUGAGAUGUGAAAAGAGAGAAUUGAUGUCCCUGACUAACAGCAUCAGACCUUUUGACACCUGCUUGACCAGGAUUUGGAUAAAAGGAGAAUUUCUGCAGGAAAAUAACUCUUAGAAAAGAAACUUAGGAAUACAGAGAUUUGACAGAGUGGCUGAUGUCAAGGAGAACAAGGAUGCAGAAGAAACUCAAGAUGUAUGUAUUAAAACAAAAGAACAAUAACCUGAAGGGACCAUGAUUCUGUUAUUGUAUAUAACACAAGGAAAUGCCCCAGAUUCU